CCUACGGGUGGCAGCAGUGAGGAAUAUUGGUCAAUGGACGAGAGUCUGAACCAGCCAAGUAGCGUGAAGGAUGACUGCCCUAUGGGUUGUAAACUUCUUUUAUAUGGGAAUAAAACAGGGUAUGCAUACCCUCUUGUAUGUACCAUAUGAAUAAGGAUCGGCUAACUCCGUGCCAGCAGCCGCGGUAAUACGGAGGAUGCGAGCGUUAUCCGGAUUUAUUGGGUUUAAAGGGUGCGCAGGGGGUCUGUUAAGUCAGCGGUAAAAGCCCGGGGCUCAACCCCGGCCCGCCGUUGAAACUGGCAGUCUCGAGUUGGAGAGAAGUAUGCGGAAUGCGCGGUGUAGCGGUGAAAUGCAUAGAUAUCGCGCAGAACUCCGAUUGCGAAGGCAGCAUGCCGGCUCCACACUGACGCUGAGGCACGAAAGCGUGGGUAUCGAACAGGAUUAGAUACCCUGGUAGUC
This 459-nucleotide ribosomal RNA is filed under the name uncultured bacterium. RNAcentral's name for it is "partial 16S ribosomal RNA". It matches the Rfam family "Bacterial small subunit ribosomal RNA", at positions 338 to 795 of the family's 1533-position model. The record is from RNAcentral.